This is a long non-coding RNA of Xiphias gladius (swordfish), 723 nucleotides long. RefSeq lists it as uncharacterized. Lineage: Eukaryota; Metazoa; Chordata; Actinopteri; Istiophoriformes; Xiphiidae. The transcript is spliced from 3 exons. The record is from RefSeq and is a predicted model, not a curated record.
GAUAAAGCGAUAAAUUGAGCCCCCGCCGCAUUAACGGCCUCUCUUCCUUGUUGCGGUGCCGGCGGUCGGACGGGUUCCCCGGCGGCGAGGCGACCGAGCCAGCACGUGUCCCGCCACGGCCGCGGUCCACGGUCCACGGGUUUCCGAGUCCGGCCUGGAUGAAUCUUGAUCCGGCGAGGUAAUGGAAAUGCUCCCAAAAACGGAGACCUCGGCUGGAUCACUCCGGUUUGGGAUGUUGUCAUUUUAAAAUGUUACUAAGUUGAAAUAUUAUUUAUACUUUAUGACUGGUCAAAGUUGUAGGUAAAUUUUAAAACCCGUAAGUAUGAUUUACUGCCUGCAAACAUGGAAUGUCUUUAUAAACUGCACAUGUAUAAGGUCCAAAUCCUAAUUUAAAAUACUUGUCGAGUGUAUUCAGUACACAUUUACAGUCUGUUUUAUCUAUAGUCUUUUGUGAUGCCCAUAAUCAGUUUUUGUCAAAGCUUAUCGUAGUGGUGUACAUUAAAUUAUGUAGUAGCCGGAUCUUAGUGGACUGUACUGGACUGCAUUAUAUUGAGGUAGUCCAGUUGCCUAAACUGAACACUAAACUUCAUAAAUGUAGCGAUUAUGGCAGAGCUUUUGUAUUGAAUUGCAUUCGUUUUUUUGUAUAGGUGUACCUAAAUAACGUGGACACUGAGUGUAUUUUUGUGACAUGGUAUAAAGUGUGGAAAUCACUGGUAAAUAAAG